GACGAACGCUGGCGGCGUGCUUAACACAUGCAAGUCGAACGGAAAGGCCUUUUUUGUGGGGUACGCUAGAGGGGCGAACGGGUGAGACACGCGUGAGUAACCCGCCCUUCACUGGGAGAUCUCUUCAAGAAACUGGGGCAAAUACCAGAUAGGAGCUUCUGGUGCGGUGGGGGGGGGGGAGAUUUGGGGGGGUUGGGAAGGGACUCGCGCCUUAUCAGCUUGUGGGUGGGGGAGUGGCUUACCAGGGCUUUGAGGGGUACCGGGCGUGUGGGGGUGACGGGCCACAUUGGACCUGAGAUCGGGCCCAGCCUCCUAGGGGGGGAAGCAGUGGGGAUAAUUGCACAAUGGGGGGAAGCCUGAUGAAGCAACGCGGCGUGCGGGAUGACGGCCUUCGGUUGGAAACCCGUUUUCGCCUGUGACGAAGCGUGAGUGACGGUAAUGGGUAAAGAAGCACCGGCUAACUACGUG
Molecule: ribosomal RNA, 468 nt
Filed under: uncultured bacterium
Lineage: Bacteria
Description: partial 16S ribosomal RNA
Rfam family: Bacterial small subunit ribosomal RNA
Source: RNAcentral